UACGUAGGGUGCGAGCGUUGUCCGGAAUUAUUGGGCGUAAAGAGCUCGUAGGCGGUUUGUCGCGUCGAAUGUGAAAUCUCAGGGCUCAACUCUGACAUUGCAUUCGAUACGGGCAGGCUAGAGUUCGGUAGGGGAGACUGGAAUUCCUGGUGUAGCGGUGAAAUGCGCAGAUAUCAGGAGGAACACCGGUGGCGAAGGCAGGUCUCUGGGCCGAUACUGACGCUGAGGAGCGAAAGCGUGGGGAGCGAACAGG
RNAcentral lists this ribosomal RNA (253 nucleotides) under uncultured bacterium. Its description in RNAcentral is "partial 16S ribosomal RNA". It matches the Rfam family "Bacterial small subunit ribosomal RNA", at positions 524 to 776 of the family's 1533-position model. The record is from RNAcentral.